UACGAAGGGGGCUAGCGUUGCUCGGAAUCACUGGGCGUAAAGGGUGCGUAGGCGGGUUAUUAAGUCAGAGGUGAAAUCCUGGAGCUCAACUCCAGAACUGCCUUUGAUACUGAUAGUCUUGAGUAUGGGAGAGGUGAGUGGAACUGCGAGUGUAGAGGUGAAAUUCGUAGAUAUUCGCAAGAACACCAGUGGCGAAGGCGGCUUACUGGUCCGGAACUGACGCUGAGGUGCGAAAGCGUGGGGAGCAAACAGG
RNAcentral lists this ribosomal RNA (253 nucleotides) under uncultured bacterium. RNAcentral describes it as "partial 16S ribosomal RNA". It matches the Rfam family "Bacterial small subunit ribosomal RNA", at positions 524 to 776 of the family's 1533-position model. The record is from RNAcentral.